UACGAACCGUCCAAACGUUAUUCGGAAUCACUGGGCUUAAAGGGUGCGUAGGCGGCCCGGUAAGUUGGGUGUGAAAUCCCUCGGCUCAACCGAGGAAUGGCGCUCAAAACUGCCGGGCUUGAGGGAGACAGAGGUGAGCGGAACUCAGGGUGGAGCGGUGAAAUGCGUUGAUAUCCUGAGGAACACCGGUGGCGAAAGCGGCUCACUGGGUCUCUUCUGACGCUGAGGCACGAAAGCUAGGGGAGCGAACGGGAUUAGAUACCCCAGUA
RNAcentral lists this ribosomal RNA (269 nucleotides) under uncultured prokaryote. Its description in RNAcentral is "partial 16S ribosomal RNA". It matches the Rfam family "Bacterial small subunit ribosomal RNA", at positions 524 to 792 of the family's 1533-position model. The record is from RNAcentral.